Picea glauca (white spruce) is the source of this 118-nucleotide non-coding RNA. NCBI's taxonomy places the organism in Eukaryota, Viridiplantae, Streptophyta, Pinopsida, Pinales, Pinaceae. The record is from Rfam.
AGAUGCCUACAACUUAGCAUUAAUGGACUGGAUCCCAUUAGAACAUUGUAGUUAAGCACGCUUGAUCUAGAGUAGUACUAGGAUGGGUGACCCAGGAAGUCUUAGUAUUUUACAUGCC